AUCUCCUCGUCACAAAAUUACACUGUAUGUAUAUGGUAAAAUUUUAAUUUUAAUAGGACAGAGAGAUUUUGAAUCCUCUAAACACAAGACUCUGAUAGGCACAAUGCUGCAGGGGGUUCAAAAUUCACUUUGAGUUUCCAACUGAAAUCUGCAGGGGGUUCAAAAUUCACUUUGAGUUUCCAAGUUCAAAUUUCAGGCAAUACAUUAUUAGUCAUGCCCUUUAUGUUGGUGUAUAUAUGUAUUGCUAAUAGGAGAAUAUGAAUUGGGAGUUCAAAAGAUGGGGUACUUAAAUCAAAAGUGUCAUUUCUAAUGAGAGAAUCUGGCUAAAGAUUUAGGUCUUCCUUCGUGAGAGGUCCCUCAAUACAAGAUCUUGGAGUUGGUGUCUCUGGUAUAUAUUUAGGUGUCCAUAAAUUAAUAUCUUUACCAGUGUCAAUGGUCAAGAGAAUUCCUUUUUUGCAAAUUGACCAUCUUUAGAGUAUGUUUUCCAGAUCAUGGUUGUGGAGAUGGUAUGUGUAGGAGUGUUAGGGUCGAGGGUAUAUUCUUCAGGCUUGCUAUUUGUCACAAUUUUCCAAUUUACAAGUCCUUUAUUGUAGGGUUACGUUGAAGAAAAGAGUUCUCGUGCCAUUAAUCAAGAUGGAUAUGACGCUUGUGGUGAUGCAAGACAUGAUGAAUUUUAUGAGAUUUGUGCAGAAUUUGAAAUGGAUUUGAGUGUGAGAAUGAAAGAUCAUUCAUGACGGUCAAAUGCCUUUUUCUGCUCUGAAGAACAUGUUAGCAUAAUUUUUUUUCAUUUUUUGAAAAAUGUGAAAUAGUUUCUUGAAUGCUAAUGACUCAGUCCGCACGAUUCUUCUA
Lycium barbarum (goji berry) is the source of this 849-nucleotide long non-coding RNA. RefSeq lists it as uncharacterized. The transcript has 2 exons. NCBI's taxonomy places the organism in Eukaryota, Viridiplantae, Streptophyta, Magnoliopsida, Solanales, Solanaceae. The record is from RefSeq and is a predicted model, not a curated record.